This is a long non-coding RNA of Sphaerodactylus townsendi, 1725 nucleotides long. RefSeq lists it as uncharacterized. The record is from RefSeq and is a predicted model, not a curated record. Lineage: Eukaryota; Metazoa; Chordata; Lepidosauria; Squamata; Sphaerodactylidae. The transcript has 2 exons.
GCGAGUCACAGCUUCUUGGAGCUCUCUCAGCUCCAACUACCUCACAGGGUGUUUGUUGUGAGGAGAGAAAGGGGGAAUAUAAAUCCAAACUCUUCUUCUUCUUCUAAAGUUUCAUGUGAACUUGGAGAUCUGCUUGGUAGUUAUGAAUUUUGAAACUGCUGGGGGAAGCUGUGAAUACAGAACUUUCAGCACCUCACCCAUUUUGAGCCAGUGUGAGCCAAAUCCAUUUUACUGUGUCAGCGUCUGCCGUGGUCUGUGCUUGACGGCAUAAUCCAAGGGGGACGUCCAGCCAGUUUGGACCAUUCCAACCUUACAAAGCAGCCCUCGACCACUGAGUGCUGUUCCCAGAUCACCCUUUGAUUCAUAAACAUCUUCAUGUUCACCGCCAGUGUGGACUGAUUUCUUAAAGAAAGGGGAAGGUUUCAACCUCUAAAAUGCCCAGGGGAUGAGGGAAGCAGAGGUCAGUUUAAAAACGAGUAACUGGAUAGGAGAAAGGCCGAACACCCACUCCCCACAUGCAAACUCUGUAGUGAACUGGACAUCAUCAUAUCAUACCCAAACAGCUAUUGUCUAGGUUUGCCAACUCCAAGUUGAGAAAUUCCUGGAGAUUUGGAGGUGGAACUGAAGAGGGCGGAGUUCGGAGAGGCUUUUCAGCAAGGAUGUGAUGUCAGAGUCCUUUUUUUUUUCAGGGGAGCUGAUCUCUGUAGCCUGGAGGCAGGUUGUAAUUCCAGGGGAACUCCACCUCCCGCCUGACAGUUGGCAACGCUAGUAUUGCCACAGUAGCAAUUGGUGUGGAUUAAUAGUGGCAGGUUUGGACAACGUAGAGAUGGUGGGGAGAGGCCCAAGGACGAGAGCGCUUUCAAAAGAGUGACAACCAGGAUCUCUGAGAAAACGAGGGUUUAAAAAGAAUUAGAAGCAGGUUUGGGGCCUCUGCUUGAACAGACCGGCUUUGCCCAAGCUUGUCAGAGCUUAGAAGCCAAGCAGGGCUGGCUCCACAGUUAGUAUUUGGUAGAUUUACAAGGAAGACUGGGUUAUUAUGCAGAGGAAGGCAAUGGCAAACCAUCUCUGCCUGUCUCUUGUCUGAAAUGUUCCAUGCAUGGGGUCACCAUGAGUCAGUAGCAGCUUGACCGCAUAUUCUUCUGCAUAUCCAAAAGUUCUCUGAUUCUGAGAUUUUUCUUCCUUGUUGGAAAUACUGCCAGGUCUGCAAAGUUGUGCCUAAUUAUAUACAAUGAAGGUAUUAGGGGGGGGCUCUAAUGAUCAUAUGUCUUGUGUGUUUAUGAGAUUAAGAUGGCAAUUUGGUAAAAUCCAACUGGAACAGAUGUCUAGGUUUCAGGAGGGGUGCGGUGGGGAGAACACAGGUUCCACUUUCAUUAUAUCCUGUUCUGCUUGGAAGAAUAGUCCUUGGCUGCAAAAGGGAAACAUUUUUUAUCCUGACAACUGACGAGCAGCAGCAUUAAGGACAGUUUGCAAGGUCAUUUGCAAAUGUGUGAGAAAAAGGAAUGUGCAUCUCAACCAUGUCUCUAAACUUUCACAAAUUAGGGGUUUUUUUUAAAAAAAACCCCAACCCUACAGUUAAUUGUAUUAUCAGAGCACAAUGCUAUACAUAAAAAAAGGCAACAAACCUUACUGACCUUAAAUAAAGCUGGGUUUUAUUAUUAAUAUAUAAGCACUUUUUUAAAACAUUUGGUAUAACAUUUGCAAUAAACUAUCUUGGAAGAGGAAAAA